GAUGAACGCUGGCGGCGUGCCUAAUACAUGCAAGUCGAGCGAACGGACGAGAAGCUUGCUUCUCUGAUGUUAGCGGCGGACGGGUGAGUAACACGUGGAUAACCUACCUAUAAGACUGGGAUAACUUCGGGAAACCGGAGCUAAUACCGGAUAAUAUUUUGAACCGCAUGGUUCAAAAGUGAAAGACGGUCUUGCUGUCACUUAUAGAUGGAUCCGCGCUGCAUUAGCUAGUUGGUAAGGUAACGGCUUACCAAGGCAACGAUGCAUAGCCGACCUGAGAGGGUGAUCGGCCACACUGGAACUGAGACACGGUCCAGACUCCUACGGGAGGCAGCAGUAGGGAAUCUUCCGCAAUGGGCGAAAGCCUGACGGAGCAACGCCGCGUGAGUGAUGAAGGUCUUCGGAUCGUAAAACUCUGUUAUUAGGGAAGAACAUAUGUGUAAGUAACUGUGCACAUCUUGACGGUACCUAAGCAGAAAGCCACGGCUAACUACGU
RNAcentral lists this ribosomal RNA (496 nucleotides) under uncultured bacterium. Its description in RNAcentral is "partial 16S ribosomal RNA". It matches the Rfam family "Bacterial small subunit ribosomal RNA", at positions 28 to 506 of the family's 1533-position model. The record is from RNAcentral.